This is a long non-coding RNA of Caretta caretta (loggerhead turtle), 489 nucleotides long. RefSeq lists it as uncharacterized. The record is from RefSeq and is a predicted model, not a curated record. Lineage: Eukaryota; Metazoa; Chordata; Testudines; Cheloniidae.
UAAAGAAUGUGCCUGAGGAAUGGACCAGAAAGUCGGAACUCCUGGAUUCACACCCUGGCUUUGUCCCUGAUGCGUUGUGUGAUCUUGGGUGGGAGAUUAACAAGCAGUAGUCCCACACGGGCUGGGUGCGAGGACACAGAAGUGAUAGCUGACUGGAAUACUGCUUGCCCCUCGGCUGCAUCAGCAGCUGAUGACUGGACCAGAGCGUAAUGUCUCCUGAAGAGAAAAAGGUCAAAGCCCGUCAGACGUCCAGAGAAUGCAGCUGUCUCUCCUCUUCCAAGGCAUGCCGUUUAGAGAAAAAGACAGGCUCAGGUCCUGUCUUGUCCCCAAUGUAUAUCCCCCUAAAGCCUCUGAGAUUUACAAGCCAGGAAGGUUCUAACCUGACUCUCUGAUCCCAGGGGCUGUGGUAGAACUGUGAGAUGGCCACAUCGCUGGUGUUCCCUGCACCGAAGCUGAAUUUCUCCGAUAUCUUUUUAAAGGCCUUCCCAU